GAAACAACAAUCAACUUCCCACACAGGCGCACGGGGCUCUUGCGUUUUCAACCCAGCUCCUCCACGCCUUUUUCUCCUCUUUCGCCCGAGUAUGCAGGGGAGGGGAGGAGGGAGGCUGGUAGCAGUUCCAUUGCACUUAUUCAAGUGACCGGCCGGCGCAUGAGGAUGCCGUUGCCGUGCGACAGAAUCUUUUUGACAACCACUUGUAUACAGAUACACAGGCAGAUACACUUAGGAGGUCAAACCCCCUUGACACAGAGACCCACAAAGACACAUACACGUUGAGCAACCACCACCAGAACGUGUACGGUGCCCCCCCCCCCCCCCCCCCCCAUCAUCCAUGUCCUUUCUUCGUCCAACCAUGUCAAGCCUGCGACGCGCAGUCAACGGUGGGAAAGACGAGCAACACCUCCAUGGAGGUCCCUCUGCCACUGCGGGUGUCGCACAACCCCUCCCAGCACAGCCGAUCUUCCACAACGCUGCCACAGGCGACUACUCACACGUGUCUAGUCGUGUUGACACCGGCCUCCGCAGCCGCGUUCGAACGUCUUCGCUGUCUCGGCGCCCCGCUGUAAUCGCCAUGUCCCGCUCGCCGUCCCUGCGCGAGUUUUCGGACAAAUGCGACAGUGUCAUCCAGCGCGCGCAGGAGAUGCUCGAGCGCACACGUGAGCAGGAGUUGAAAGUGACGAAGGCACUCGAGGAGCGUAAGUCGAGAUCCCCCGCGCGCCAAGCAACGCCACCCCCGCAAAGAGAGAUGACCCCGCAACGGACGCCGGCAAACAUGCCGGCCGGCCUCGCUUCUCCCUCGUCGUCCCCAGCAACGCUGAACGCACCCUACACUACGCCGGUGACACCACCAAGAGCGUCGUCGACCCUCACCACCACAUCGCCCUCUCUCCCGCCGCUUCCGGCACCUCCGCCAACUCCGGCAGGCCUCCCGCACAGCCCGCCGCCCACGCAGCCAGCCACUGACAAGAGCCCCAGCGAUCCCGUCGGCCGCUUCUCGCCUCCCUCGCUAUUUCAGCGCCUUCGGCAAUCCUGGCAGCGUGGAUCCGGCCUGGCAUGGGAGGCCCACGCAACGUCGCCUACGCCGUCGUCGCCCGACGGGGCGCUGUCCGUCGGCAUCGCACGCAUGAGCCCGCGCAAGUCAGUGCGCUUCGCCAGUCCCGACAAGCUGGAGACGGUCACACCGACAAAGGUGGUCGCGUUAUCGAGCGAUGACGAUGACGACGACGAAGACGAAGAAGACGAGGAAACAAGCGAGGAUGAGGAAGAAGAAGAGCAGGAGCAGCUGCCGCCCACCAAGAAGACGCGCGCUGAGUCGAGCGGCUGCCGCCACACGCCUCACCGCGAUUCCGUAGUAGUGCCGCCAGCUCCACCUCCGUCCGCCGUAAAGUCCGGCAGCCGUAGCCGCAGCGGGAGCAGCACAUCUUUGCCCUCCUCCAGGUCCCCCCCGCCGUCGCGCGGCACUGCGUCUCCGCCGUCCUCGCAUAGGGAGGGCACCCGAUCGCCAUCCUCCACGCACACAACCUCGCCUCGCCAGUGUAGCGGCAUCAGUGGCGAUGGUAGCAGAAGUGGUCGCAGCUCCACCUCCUCGAGUCGCCCGCCGAUGGAUCAUGACGAGGUCAAGGAGUACGUCAUACAUCACACCAUCCGCCGCUCGCUCUCGCGUAUCUCGAGGGCCAACAUGGAAGACUAUCUCAGAGAGGAGGGCGUGGCGCUGCCCGCCGAGGGACAUUGGCUGAAGCGACAACUCCUUGCACACAUCCGUGCCCUCAUCAAGCAGGAGCUGGCGCCGCACUGACAACAGAGCUAGAGUGGCUGGGAAGAGGGGAGAGGAGGCACCAGGCAAUGUCGGAUGCGGUGAACUUGUACGCACGCACGCGCAUUAUGUGCUGUCGAGCCAUCCGCUACAGAGCGGUCCUAUCGGGCUUCGCCUCCCUCUCUCUCUCUUGACUCCGACGGUGACGAUAGAGCGAGUGUGCACACCGCGGAGCGGCCUACCGUAGACUACAGUGUGAUGUUUUUUCCGUUUUUUUUCUGCAUAAUAGCACCUUUAGAUGCAUCUGAAGCGUUGGCGUGGAUGCUCGUUGUCUCUCUCUCUCUCUCCCUGUCUUUCCCGCCCCCUUCGCUUUUCUCUGUUUUGCUUGCGCGCCCUUUUUCUUCCUCCUCUAGGGCUUCUGCGUGUGGCUCUCUUGCCGCGCGGAGAGGGCAUGUGUGCCCUGCGAAUGCGAAUGCGAACGCGCGCCUUCUUCUCCGCGGCUCGGCAGCCCAAGUAGAUAGUAUACGCACAGGCAAACGUCGACGCCGGCGGAGAGCGAUGGCAGAGUGCUGUGUGCACGCUCCUCUACAGACACCUGCGUCUUCCCUGACUGACAGCUUGCGUGCCUGCUCAGAGGGGUGGUAUGAGGCUGCACGCUUGUAGGUGUGUACUCGGAGUUUUCGCUUCUGGUGCUCUCACACGCCCGAUCUCUGUCUUGGUCCUCUCUCUCCCUUCCCGCUGCGUAUUCCACCCACUGAACGUCUCUUUCUUUCUCUUCGGUUUUGCUUGCGCGCUGCGCGCAUCGGAGCACCCGGGGCGGGGACGGCGAUAGUGAAAAGAAGGCCGACGGGUGAAGUGGUUGAGGGAAUUGGGAUGAGGAUGGGGAUGUGAGGAGAGGAAUGAGCUACCCUGGGACGAGCAACGCAACAGCUGCGACGCGCUUCUCCAACGCACCACUGGAUGAUCCGUGCAUGCCAUACAGAACAAUCAUCGACAGUGCAAAUGCGCUUCGGCGUGGGACUUGCAGCCGCCGUUUCACCUGUGAAGCGGGUAUCCCUUUUAUCGGAUACGCACAUGGCAAGGCUGUACAGGACCGGCCUGCGCUUGUAUGUUUGCUCUCUCUGUAUUUUCUCCUCGAGGUCGCGGGUCCGAUGGUCGUGUACAUUUGUGGUGGCGAGCCCAUUCUCCACCACCGCCACGCUACGGGCAACUGUGAUUGGCCUCACUUGUGCCAGCGAGAAAGAGAGAGGAGCACCUUUGAUGUCCAUGCCACUCUCUUGCAAUUCAGCAGCAUGUCCACCAGCUUCGUGCGCCGCAUCCCCUUGUCCCCUCUCUGUGCGCUCACGUACGUCUCGCCUCUUCUCUUUUGUUUGUUCUUGGAUUCUCAUCGAAUCGCUGUGGCACACAUGAGCGAACGUGACCACGUUCUCUUCCAUGGACGUCGUUUCUUCCUGACUUUCACGGACGGACUUGCACGACAAG
Molecule: unclassified non-coding RNA, 3244 nt
Filed under: Leishmania donovani
Lineage: Eukaryota; Euglenozoa; Kinetoplastea; Trypanosomatida; Trypanosomatidae
Description: gene:LdHU3.30.0700(CDS-product:hypothetical_prote in_conserved)
Source: RNAcentral